AAUAUACAUGUAAAAUAAAUAAUAAUAAUAAUAAUAAAUAAUAAUAUAUAAUUUGGCCAUAGUACACAAAAGAAUUUAUAAUAAAAGAGAAAAUAAUUAUAUUUUGAAAGAACAAACUAUAUACAUAAUAGAUUUGAAAAGAAAAUAUAUAUUAAAUAGAUUUAAAAGAAAUUAUAUAAAUAAAAUAAAAUAGAAUUAAUAAUGUAUAUAAAAUAAAACUAAUUUCAUCAUAUAUAUAAUAAUGUAUAAAAAUAUUUUAAUUAAAUAUUAUACAAGAAUUUAGAAUAAUACUAUAUAAAAUAAAACUUUAAAAUAACACUUUACAAUUCAAACAAAUAUAAAAAAAAAGUAAAAUUAUUAAAGUAACCUAAUAUGUAUGUUUAAAUAAAUUUUUAAAAAGUUGAAUGCUAAAUAAAUUAAAGAAAUAAUGAAUUAUACAUACUGAAAUGGAAAUAAACUCAAUUGAAAUAAAUUUAAACUAAAAGGGACAAUUAAUAAAUAAAAUAAGCUGUUGAAACCAAAAUCAGGACCCAAAUGUAACGCGCGCAAACUCGCAAGGACGGAAAAAACAAAUAAACCAUGCCCCAGAACAAUUCAUUUCCGCGCGGACUGAAAUGAGUAGACGCACAAAUUCUUGGGACAAUUUAAAAAAAAAGGAAAAUAUAAACAGGUUUUAAUUACAAGUCAGUGCAAAAAGGGAGGGACCAAACGCGCAACUUAACCAUUUAAAGAGAAUAUGCGCGUAAACCAAGUCAAAACGCGUUCUGUUUCUUCCCCCCAAAAAAGAAAUGCUAUUUUAUUUUAUUACUUAAAUAAAAAAACUGUUUUAAAAUCAUUUGAUUUUUGCGUUUAGAAAAAAAACCUAAUGCUCCCAAAUCUCUUUACCUUUUCUCUCCAGCCGAAAAGCUAUGUUCAAGCUUUCAACCGCCCGCUUGUACCGGCGAAGUAAGGCCCUCCAAUGGUGCGAGCACGACGCGCGAUAAGUUUAUUCUCCUCUCUCUGAUCCUUCGCAUGUGUUGUGGAUCCAAAUGAAAAAAAGAAAAAAGAGGAAAAAUAGAAUAAAAUUGCAGUAAAUAAUCACCUUAGAAGUAUUCUUGGUUGCUUUUCUACUAAUUUUCAUAUGUAUUUUGUAUUAUCACUCGUCCGUCAAAAAAAACAAAUGAAAAUUCGUGGCCUUUUAUAGCCAUUUUUACAUCUGUUUCUUCUCCACUAGUUGCAGGUAUGGCGAACGUGGUUCGAAGUGCAAGGAUGUGGGGCGGGCAAUACGCGAGUCAAGGGGUCGUGUGUGGGGCGUGCGUUGGUGGCUGCUGGUGGCUGCGGCGCAAGGCAAAUAGAACCCUAGGGCUUGCUAUUUCUGAAAACGAUUUGGGCCAUUGGGCUUGUGUAAUCAAGUAUUGGGCCAUUGCAAAGUUUUGGGCCUAGUGUAACUAUAUUUGGGAUUGUUUUUUUUGUUUUAUUUUUUCUGUAUAUGUAUGGGCUCGGGCUAAAAAUUGAGUCUACAACAGUGAUAUAAAAGUUUCUCAAAGUUUGUUUUACAUUUAAGGGCACACAUGACAUUUUAUAAAAAUUGUUCUAACACUUUAAUCAAACUAAGAAAACUACAUAAAUUUAAGAUGUCUCCCAAACAUUAAGCUAAUUAUUCCUUAUGUUUUAAGAAGCCAUUUUAAUACUCAUAUAAUAAAUAAGGUUUUCUUAUAUUUUUACACGCGAUAUUAAGAUUUUAUAUAAGAGAAAGAGAACAAACAUUUAGUUAACGAUAACUAAGUAAGAUAAAUUGAAAAAUCGAAAAACGACCUAAAUUAAAGUGUUUGAACUAUUUAUGAAAUACAAAUUUAAAGUGGUUACUUGAAAUCGAACUAAAUUUUAUUUUUAUUUAAUAUAUAAAUUAUUUUAAUUUUUUAUGGUAUAAAAUAAAUAUUUUAUAUUUAAAAUAGUAAAAUAUUUAAACGAAAAAUUAUUUUGUUUUAUAAAUACUAAUGAAAAAAAUUUAGAAAUUUUGUCAAAUCAUAUUCAAAAAUUAUAAAACAAAGUUUAUUUUGUUAAAAUAAAUUUAAAAAUAGAAAAUCAAACAUUAAUAUAAAAAUCGAGAACCGAACCGCACAUCGAAUUAUGAAAAAUUAAAAAAUCUAAAAAAAUCCCAUCAAACAUAUCACCCUAGACUGAAUUAUAAUUUUCUUAAUUUUACUAGAAAAAGAAAAGGCAAAUAAGAGAGCAGAAUGGUCUAAUCUAAUUCUAAAAAAAAAAAAAAAAUCAGAUUGCAUGCAAAUUGUCCGUGAAAAAAUAUGUGACAAAUCAUACUACACCCACCAGCACAACCCAAUUCCUGCCGUGGUCCGGUAUGUAGAGCCCAUCCCCAAGCACCAGCUGCAUUGGAGAAUUGGGAUGUGUUUAUCACCCCCAACAAAAUGGUACAUGAAAUGAUGAUCUACCUUUCUUUGGGCUUUUAUGAAUCCAGACCUUAAGGGCCAUUGGAUUACACUACAGAAAAAAAAGGGGUCUUAUACAAGUCUACUGCUUCAUGCACAAUUGCAGUCCAUUAUUCAUAGUUUUGAAUCUGUUGCUGGUAGCAGAAACAAGGCAAAUUGUGGGAAACUAACAGGCCCUAAUUUUUUUUAAUCCAAAUAUGUAUAUAUUACAAAGCCUAGAUGAACAACAAUGGCAACAUCAACAUGGGCUCGUCAUGAAACAAGCCUGAAGAAAUAAACAAAAGCAUAGUAGUUUUUAUACCCCACUGGUGAAGAAUGACAAACACAGUUUCCAAAUUCAAAUGCAUCAUCUAAACAAAUAUGCCCCUUUCUUAGUCUUAUCUGCAUGGAUUUGCUUGCUGGAAAUGAAAAAGCAAAAAUGAAAGAAAAAGAAAAAAGGUGAAAACAACCUUCAAGGUUUAAGAGAUGAUAUGUAAUUUUUCACUUUUUUCAACGCAUUGCAGCAAAAGGGUUCCUUUUCCAUUGCAGAGGCUGAUAUGUUAUCUCUGUUUCCUCUAUUUUAGUCCAUGGUAAUUUGUGUUUAGCCACCUUUCGCUUCCUAGCUGCUACUCCCAGAUAGUCUCCAGCGUUCUGAAUUUGAAUGAAUUUACAGUAAAACAGUCAAAUUCUUGUUAAUGUUAAAUGCAGGCUAAAUUUGGAUGCUAAAGAUCAGAUUUUGGUACCUUGAGGCAGAGUCCUUCUUGGACAUCACAAAUGGGGUAAUCACUAGGGCAGCAGUAUUCAGUUCCGGUACAGCAAACAGCAUUUUCAUAUUCACAGCAGCCGUAUAUUAGGCAAUAAUCAUAGAAUUCAAAAAGGCAACAGCAUGUCUCAUCACUUGAACAAUAGGAAAAGUCUCCACAAUCACUUGGUGAAGGAGAUGGAGGUGGUGGUGGUGGUGGAGUUGAAGGAGGUGGCGGUGGAGGAACACUUGGCGAUGGAUAAGGGGAUGGUGAAGAGGAUUCUUUAGUUGGAUAAGAAGCCAUGGCAUUGACAGCACAAACACCAUAUGGUAAAUCAGUGUCUCUUUUUAGAUAGAAAUAUCCAUCUAUCCCCCAACUUGUUCCCCAUGAAUUCUUCACUAUCCAAUACUCUUCACUGCCUUCUGAACCAUAACCAACUAUUAAAACAGCAUGAUCAAUGUCAUCUGGAUCAUCCGAGCAGCUCCCAUCAUAA
This 3641-nucleotide long non-coding RNA is filed under the name Gossypium barbadense (sea-island cotton). RNAcentral describes it as "long non-coding RNA (GBAR_LNC005554)". The record is from RNAcentral. Lineage: Eukaryota; Viridiplantae; Streptophyta; Magnoliopsida; Malvales; Malvaceae.